Triticum aestivum (bread wheat) is the source of this 5220-nucleotide long non-coding RNA. RefSeq lists it as uncharacterized. The transcript has 3 exons. Lineage: Eukaryota; Viridiplantae; Streptophyta; Magnoliopsida; Poales; Poaceae. The record is from RefSeq and is a predicted model, not a curated record.
CACAUGUGCAUCCAACACGCCUACACCAGCCUCGCCAUUGUGGCUUUGAGUACCACUAUAUGUGUCCCUUCCAGAUGAAAGAAAAUUAAGAUUCGGUUCCAGUGCUGAUGCCACGGCAGGGCCAACCGCCCAGGCAAAGCAGGACAUCCCUCCAGCACCACAUAGAAAGAGGAAGAACAACAAAAAUUAAUCAUACCGAAGAGAAAAUAGAAUCUCCAUCUUCACACAACCACCACCCAUCCGAGGACCCAACCGACCAGUGCCGGUCGACCUCCAGACACUAUAGCCGCGACCUCGACGAGAUCCGGGGAUCCCCCACCCCACUAGCCCCUAGACGAAGGCAAGAGCUUCGUCUGACCGUGAGCGGAGUCCAAAGAAUCUUAUUCAAACGCGACGUCGCCGCAACAACCUUGGCAGCAUCUCCCUCAAACCUAACCCUACUGCGAACCCACCCCACGCACAAAUCCAAGGCCCUCCUCCCUCCCGCCACCGGCACGGCCGGCGGAGGGAGAGGGAACAGCGGCAGUGCCGGCGACACGCAAAGGAAAGCCCCGCUCGCCUCCUUUCCGCCUGUGCAGGCGAUCCAAUCUGAAAGGACGAGCGGCGAACACAACAAAACAAUGGUAUUUGACCAUUGCUAGUACUCCUAGAAGAGAUCAUGGUGCUCCCUCGACUUGGCUUGGCUGGUCGACGAGGAGUGGCGGCUGUUCGUCUAGAACGCGCGGUAGGUUUUUGCGACGGUAAAAUUAUUGUAUGUACGGGCAAUCCAACGGCCCCGGUUUUACCAAAGUGCAAUCGCUUCUCUCCAACCCUGCCGCCCGAAGGCUGCAGCCAUGCGGCGGCACUACGCCGAGCUCUUCCGCCGCGCCGCCUCGCUGCCGUCUCUCUCGCUGGUGGCCUCCCUCCACGGCGCCGCACUCCGCCGAGGCGCGGUCCUCGUCCCCUCGCUCAUCCAUGCCUACUCCGCGUGCGGCGACCCAGCCUCCGCCCGCAGCGUGUUCGACGGAUUGCCCGCACAGGAGCAGACGCUCUCCGCGCGCACCGCGCUGGCCAGCGCGAUGUCCGCGCACGGCAGGUGCCGGGAGGUGCUCGGCCUGUUCCGCGGACGGGAGGGGGAGAUGGACGACAAGGCGGUGACGGUGGUCCUUGCCGCGUGCGCUAGCGAUGAGGAUCCUCUGACGUACGGCAGCCUGCCGUUCCGUCACUGACAUGUGGGCCCGUUGGGAGCCUGGUCCACAUGUCAGUGGCCCAACGGCACGUAACGCACGGCAGAGGAGCGUCUUCCGUGUGCUAGGGCCGGGAUGGUCAGUGAGGGGAGGGAAGUCUUCGCGAGGGUCAGGAGGCCAGCGUUGCAGCACUACACGUGCAUGGUGGAGAUGCUCGGACGUGCUGGGGAGGUCGAGGAGGCAGAGGGGCUGCUCGCGCGGAUGGAGGCACGGCCAGACAGGAUCAUCUGCACGGUGCUGCUCGCUGCGUGCCGGGCGCAUGGCCGUGUCGAUGUGGCUGAGAGAGUGGCUAGGUUGAUGAGCGAGUAUGGCAUUGUGUGAAUUUUGGCAUAUUGAUCUGUUGACAAACUGGCCAUUGUGUGAGGCUGUUAGCCAAGACCAGUGAUCAAAACCAUUGUGAUAUGGAGCUGAUAACACAUAGUUUGAUUGACGGCAAUGGUGGUUCAUGAAGUUCAUGCAGUAAUGCAGUAUACAACACAAGCACCUGGCCGGUGAGAUCUGAAUUUUGUAGAAGUCUAUGCUGCAGUGGACGGACCACAUGAGCGCCAGCACACUUCACUGCUUGAACCUGUAUGGAAGCACAGUUCGAAGGCACCUAUCAGAUUGCUAUAAAAUGGGUAACGCCGGUACUAUAGACCAUCUGUAGUGGAAUGCCCGUCAGUUUUCUCAGUUGCUGACUGUCUAAGCUCUCUGAGUAGCUUGAUGAUGGGCGUACAUUUCUCAUUUCUGGACUGUAAGUUGUCAAGCUUAAUGGAGCCUGGCAGCCCGUAAUGCAACACAAAGAGAAGUCGCCAAAGUUAAUAGCCGAACUUGUCAAUAUUGUUAAUAGCCGUAACUGUCAAUCUUGACUUCUUGAGUGAAUUGUUGAGGAGCAGUUUCGAUCAAACUGUCAAUCUUGACUUCUUGAGUGAAUUGUUGAGGAGCAGUUUCGAUCAAAUUUUGUUGAAGCUGGAUGUGGUGGGAACUAUCAAAAUACAGGAAGUCUGCUCCAAGAACCUGUUGUGAGAUCUUCUAGGAUUCAGUUUUCGGAUACUUCAUAGUUCUGGCAUUCUCUCACGGUGGAAACUGUACCUCCUGCUAUGUUUCAAUUUACUGAGCAUAGAUCAUCUGUUUUAAAUGGUUAGUCCCUUCACUAUUGUGUCCACUGUCACAGCAAUCAACGGAUCUUAUUCUGGACAUAUGUGCAAUGACGCUUGAGCAAAUCAGCUCUCUGAUAUAAAUACUCACGUUGACGCAAAACGUCCAUCUCGCAUGCGACACAUGGGUGCGAGGGAAUGCGGAGUUGGGUAUUGCUGGUAAGAGACAGAACAAGUGCAACCUGGUUGGGAAACUAGCAGGAGAGAUGAGGAAGCGGUUGUUCUGGUCACGAGCACAGCUGAGCUCGUUAUCUGGGCAGCUCGGCUCUUCAUUGGGAUGCGGUGCAUUCAAUUCCUGUGCCAGUGCGUUGAUCGUUUUUAAAGGAGGAAAUGUGGAAAUACAGUAGAUGGGUACGACGUACGUAGGUCUAGUUACGGAGCGGACGUUUGCUGCCGUGAUGGAUCUAAAGGAGAGCCGUGGCUCGUGACAUCAGUCCCGUCCUGAUCCGUGGAUCAGGAUGCAUGCUUUCCAGUAGGGCGGUAGUAGAGUAGUAAAUGAGGGAUGGCACCAAGACGGAGUUGCCUCCAAUCUCUACCUGCCCUGUUUGUGCACUGUAGCUUGCGGCUAGCUGAGCGGCGGAGUUCAUCCUGCAAGAAUACACAGCUGGCAGCGCAAAAAUGGAGUUCCUGAUGCAACCAAUUAGGAGGUAGUCCCGUGUGCAGCUUUCAGCCGAGUACAUCUUUUUUUGGAGUUUGCAUGAAAUCUAUAUAAUAUUUCAAGAUUUGGGCAAUCCAGGACCACGUUGCUGGAUGAGGUUAAUGACAACAAGGUUCCAAUGGAGCCACUGCACUACCAUGCGGUGGCAACUGUUGCUGAUCAGUUGUCACCCAUGGCGGCAACGAGUGCUGGCGGGCAGAUCUGUGCGGCAGAGGGGGCGGCGGUCACGGAAGCAGAUGGUGAAGCGCAAGCAAAGUAGAUAUGCAAUUUGAAAUCGUGUGCCUAGAUAGGGUGAGGAUCGGAGCUGCCGCUCCCGGUAGGACGCCUUGUCCUAGUCGCACGAGCGCCCUUGAGAAGGCAAUAUGUGGUUUUGCGGAGAAUCCAGGGAAUGUGAUUGUGUCUGCAUCGGGUACAUUGAAGGAAAUCUUUUCUUGUACUGCAUAGCUUUAUACAUUGUCGUACCAGACCUGCGAGUUUUAUGGAUAGGCAUGUCUUUGAGAACAAUAAUAUCAUCACAGUUCUGUCCAUACAUAUUUAUCGUUCAUUCUUCUGAAAUUAUGUGGACAAUAUCAGCAUUUUUAUUACUUUACCGUCAUAUCUCAUUAAUUGAUAUAGUUCAGGUCCACACUGUGUUCACUGCUUUUAUAUCACGGACAGAUUAUCUAAGAAUUUAGAAGUGAUUUUCUUUUCACAUAAUGUAAGUUACUGUUGCACAUGCUUUAUUCACUUCAUGAUCUUGCAGUCUGAAUACCAAUUGAUAGUGAUAAUGCUCGUACUUCUAAAAAACCGUGGUUGAAUAAGGAGGGAUUGCACUUGCCUGGUUGUACGGUGCCAUUCAGUUAUCAGUAGUCUAGCACAUCAUUUGUGAAGCAUGAAAGGCAUGAAUCAAUUCUUUUCCAGGAUUCUGGCUUUGUUGACUGAAGUGGGUAUUGUUAGGAUCCAGAGCGGUUAAAUUCAGGAACUGUGAUUGUUAAUUAUGUAGUCUUAUUUGUGAUUUACCUGUAACUACAGUGCUAAUUCUACAUCUCUGAGUCUUAUUUGACUCUUGUUUAUUGGUAUUUGAUAGAUGAGCAGGAUAGGAAAGGUUAAUAUCGGAAGUGCUGUUCUGCGCCUGGGUGCAUACACACCCGAGCUGAACAGUAGUAAAUUUAGAAAAAAAGAUAGGAAUAAAUAAACUUUGAUUUUUUAUUGCAUUCUAUAUAUAGAAUUGUCCAAAUUCUUCUGAAGCAUCCAGAUACCAUUGCCAAACCAAACAUCAGGAUGUGGUUUGACCUGAUGGAUGAUUGCUGUGCUCACCAUGCCAUUGGAUGUAGGAAUUUAUGGGAUGGAAACUUUGAGAUCAUUAUGAACUUUGCCAGGAUACCCUUUUUGUAAUGGGAUUUUUUUGGAUUCAUAAUCUCUGUUUGUUCUUUUGCACAUGGCGGGAGCGGCCUGUUUCAGUCUUGGAUUACUAAUGCGUGCUGAGUUGCUGCUGCCUUUUGAUCAGAUUGUAAGUGUAAACUCAAACAGGUGGCGGAAGCCUGUGUUGCUGCCUUUGGGACAAGUGGAAGCAUCACUGCCUUUUCAUGUACAACCACGAGUAUGUUGUGGCUGCCGGAGCAGCUCUCCCCUGUGCCAGACAUUUGCUUCGCCGGUGCCGACAGACAGAUGGAGACGAUGGAUGAAGGAGCAACCGGUGGCUGGCAGCCAAGGCAAAGGCAAGGCAAGGAGGACCUUCCAGCUGCAUCCUCGGAGGAAAUACUGACCGUGAACUCAUCCGUCAUGGCGUUCUCCUGAUCCGUGGAAUGUACCGGAUGGAUUCCGAUCCCCGUGCCCGUCGCAGGUGCCGUUUGCUCGACGGCUGUCCACGGCCGUUGCUUUCGGUUUGCCGACUGGGGCUGGAGUGCAGGGCGUGCAAAGGUCCAAACUGAGCGCUGCCGUGCCAAGCUACGGUUAGCGUUGCUUUCACCCUUGGUCUCUUCUCCGUGUUUAUCUGAUUGCGCUGCAAUGCCGCAUGCAUCCGGUGUUUGUCUACUUCCGUGUCUUUCUUUUGCUGGCUGUCGACAAGUCGUGUAUUUUCCCUUUUGGAACUGAAGUCGAUCUACCUUGCACGCAAGGAGCGCGGAAUUCAGUCUAUAUUUUCUUGAUUUUCCUGAUAUAGUAUUUGAACAGUGUUCAACACUAUGUUUCUUAGCAAAAUACUUACUACCUCGUUAUAUUA